CAUGUGUAGCGGUGAAAUGCGUAGAUAUAUGGAGGAACACCGGUGGCGAAAGCGGCUCUCUGGUCUGUCACUGACGCUGAGACUNGAAAGCGUGGGUAGCGAACAGGAUUAGAUACCCUGGUAGUNCACGCCGUAAACGCUGAGUGCUAGGUGUUAGGUCCNUUCCGGGACUUAGUGCCGACGCUAACGCAUUAAGCACUCCGCCUGGGGAGUACGACCGCAAGGUUGAAACUCAAAGGAAUUGACGGGGGCCCGCACAAGCGGUGGAGCAUGUGGUUUAAUUCGAAGCAACGCGAAGAACCUUACCAGGUCUUGACAUCCCGAUGCCCGCUCUAGUGAUAGAGUUUUUCUUCGGAACAUCGGAGACAGGUGGUGCAUGGUUGUCGUCAGCUCGUGUCGUGAGAUGUUGGGUUAAGUCCCGCAACGAGCGCAACCCUUAUUGUUAGUUGCCGUCAUUAAGUUGGGCACUCUAGCGAGACUGCCGGUAAUAAACCGGAGGAAGGUGGGGAUGACGUCAAAUCAUCAUGCCCCUUAUGACCUGGGCUACACACGUGCUACAAUGGUUGGUACAACGAGUCGCAAGCCGGUGACGGCAAGCUAAUCUCUGAAAGCCAAUCUCAGUUCGGAUUGUAGGCUGCAACUCGCCUACAUGAAGUCGGAAUCGCUAGUAAUCGCGGAUCAGCACGCCGCGGUGAAUACGUUCCCGGGCCUUGUGCACACCGCCCGUCACACCACGAGAGUUUGUAACACCCAAAGUCGGUGAGGUAACCAUUUAUGGGGCCAGCCGCCUAAGGUGGGANGGA
Molecule: ribosomal RNA, 803 nt
Filed under: uncultured bacterium
Lineage: Bacteria
Description: bacterial SSU rRNA
Rfam family: Bacterial small subunit ribosomal RNA
Source: RNAcentral